Molecule: ribosomal RNA, 472 nt
Filed under: Veillonella parvula
Lineage: Bacteria; Bacillati; Bacillota; Negativicutes; Veillonellales; Veillonellaceae
Description: bacterial SSU rRNA
Rfam family: Bacterial small subunit ribosomal RNA
Source: RNAcentral
GACGAACGCUGGCGGCGUGCUUAACACAUGCAAGUCGAACGAAGAGCGAUGGAAGCUUGCUUCUAUCAAUCUUAGUGGCGAACGGGUGAGUAACGCGUAAUCAACCUGCCCUUCAGAGGGGGACAACAGUUGGAAACGACUGCUAAUACCGCAUACGAUCUAAUCUCGGCAUCGAGGAUAGAUGAAAGGUGGCCUCUACAUGUAAGCUAUCACUGAAGGAGGGGAUUGCGUCUGAUUAGCUAGUUGGAGGGGUAACGGCCCACCAAGGCGAUGAUCAGUAGCCGGUCUGAGAGGAUGAACGGCCACAUUGGGACUGAGACACGGCCCAGACUCCUACGGGAGGCAGCAGUGGGGAAUCUUCCGCAAUGGACGAAAGUCUGACGGAGCAACGCCGCGUGAGUGAUGACGGCCUUCGGGUUGUAAAGCUCUGUUAAUCGGGACGAAAGGCCUUCUUGCGAAUAGUGAGAAGGAU